CUACGGGUCGCUCCAGUGGGGAAUAUUGCACAAUGGGCGCAAGCCUGAUGCAGCCAUGCCGCGUGUAUGAAGAAGGCCUUCGGGUUGUAAAGUACUUUCAGCGGGGAGGAAGGGAGUAAAGUUAAUACCUUUGCUCAUUGACGUUACCCGCAGAAGAAGCACCGGCUAAGUCCGUGCCAGCAGCCGCGGUAAUACGGAGGGUGCAAGCGUUAAUCGGAAUUACUGGGCGUAAAGCGCACGCAGGCGGUUUGUUAAGUCAGAUGUGAAAUCCCCGGGCUCAACCUGGGAACUGCAUCUGAUACUGGCAAGCUUGAGUCUCGUAGAGGGGAGUAGAAUUCCAGGUGUAGCGGUGAAAUGCGUAGAGAUCUGGAGGAAUACCGGUGGCGAAGGCGGCCCCCUGGACGAAGACUGACGCUCAGGUGCGAAAGCGUGGGGAGCAAACAGGAUUAGAUACCCCCGUAGUC
This 464-nucleotide ribosomal RNA is filed under the name uncultured bacterium. RNAcentral's name for it is "partial 16S ribosomal RNA". It matches the Rfam family "Bacterial small subunit ribosomal RNA", at positions 339 to 795 of the family's 1533-position model. The record is from RNAcentral.